Tephrocybe rancida is the source of this 82-nucleotide non-coding RNA. NCBI's taxonomy places the organism in Eukaryota, Fungi, Basidiomycota, Agaricomycetes, Agaricales, Lyophyllaceae. The record is from the annotation of a GenBank genome assembly.
GCAUCAGUGGUGUAGCGGUAACAUUGGGUCUUCCCAUCUUGACGAUUUGGCCUAGCUCCGGGUUCGACUCCCGGCUGAUGCA